RNAcentral lists this non-coding RNA (256 nucleotides) under Mimumesa dahlbomi. The record is from RNAcentral. Lineage: Eukaryota; Metazoa; Arthropoda; Insecta; Hymenoptera; Crabronidae.
UUCGGGUUUACGAGGGAGGCGAAGGCAUGUGGAAGGUGCAGAAUCGUACUCGCGAUGACCUAACCCCAAGAAGGCGGGCAUCAAAUCGGAAUGCCCGACCUAACGAUACUACGCGUUUUACCUAAAUUAAAAGAUAACCUAUCUGUCAUUCUCUCCCAUCCUUUUUUCCUUACCCCUACCCCUAUUAUUAAGAUGGUUUGUUUGCUCUUCUUCCAUUAAAAAAAAUUUGUAAGAGCGUUCUCGUAAACCCCGUUUU